Molecule: non-coding RNA, 30 nt
Filed under: Homo sapiens (human)
Lineage: Eukaryota; Metazoa; Chordata; Mammalia; Primates; Hominidae
Source: RNAcentral
UGCGGUGGCUCAUGUCUGUAAUCCCAGCAU